This is a long non-coding RNA of Haplochromis burtoni (Burton's mouthbrooder), 699 nucleotides long. RefSeq lists it as uncharacterized. The record is from RefSeq and is a predicted model, not a curated record. The transcript is spliced from 2 exons. NCBI's taxonomy places the organism in Eukaryota, Metazoa, Chordata, Actinopteri, Cichliformes, Cichlidae.
CAGCCGAGAAGCUAACGCUACAGCUCUUCUUCUUUGGUUUUAGUGGUAGGUAGCGACAAGCGGCGGGGCGCAUUACCGCCAUCUAUGCGAAAACCAUCUCGGUUUCUUCUUCGAGGGAUGCCUGCCCUAAUCCAGCGUUUACGCAAACGAGUGUCCUGUCCAUGUCAUGCUUCAUCGUGCUAACAAGCUACCAGCGGCUCUGCUGAAGCUGUCGUGGUCCAUCAGCUGCUGCAAGGAGGACGUGAUGAAGCCGACCGGUGAUCAGUGUGCGCGCGGUCUGCGUCAAUAUGAUGAACACAACAUAUGAUGGUUCAAUCACCAUUUUUGAUGCAGACUUGUGUCGGUGGAGCUGAAUGACUGUCCAGAGGGCUGUGAUGUGCGGCAGCAGUUUGUGCCUGCUGUUUCCAAUAAAACUCGUCUGUGUCAGAUUCUCCCAUUUCCACUCGCACUGCAAAAGCUGGUGAUGUCUGAAUACUUAAACUUGUGAUCUCUACACAGAAGAGUGAGAGAAGGAAGGAAGCUGAAGUUAAAAGAUUGUAGUUAUAUGAAGAAAGUUAGAAUAUAAAGUAUUUAUUGAACCUUUGAUGAAGAAAGACAUUAACAACCAACAAAUCAAAGCCGUUUGUCAUUCAUAAAUCCAAGUUCAUGUUAAAAUGCUUUGGUUACAGUGUCACAGAUUUUAUAUUCACAUAUGAACAA